CUUGGUCAUUUAGAGGAAGUAAAAGUCGUAACAAGGUUUCCGUAGGUGAACCUGCGGAAGGAUCAUUAUCGUACAAAAUGUGUUAGGCAUUGCGAGGGCUGUCGCUGACCGACUCAAGGUCGUGCACGCCGGAGCAUGUCCUCUCACAUAACACAAUCCAUCUCACCCUUUGUGCAUCACCGCGUGGGCCCCCUUUGGGGGGCUCGCGUUUUCACACAAAAUCCCCCCCCUUUAAAAUGUGUAGAAUGAACUCAUUUAUGAAAUCAAUACAACUUUCAACAACGGAUCUCUUGGCUCUCGCAUCGAUGAAGAACGCAGCGAAAUGCGAUACGUAAUGUGAAUUGCAGAAUUCAGUGAAUCAUCGAAUCUUUGAACGCACCUUGCGCCCCUUGGUAUUCCGAGGGGCACACCCGUUUGAGUGCCGUGAAAACCUCAACCUCCUUGGUUUCUUUUGGAGACCAAAGGAGGCUUGGACUUUGGAGGCCUUUGCUGGCAUCCCUGCCAGCUCCUCUCAAAUGAAUUAGCGGGGUCCUCUUUGCCGACCCUUGACAUGUGAUAAGAUGCUUCCGUGUCUCGGUUUCUGGCUCUGUUGCCUUUGGGACCCGCUUCUAACCGUCUAGGUCGAGACAAUGUUCGAGCUCGUCUCCCUUCUCGGGAAACCUUCUCGACCCCACGAACCCUUGGCCUCAAAUCGGGUGAGACUACCCGCUGAACUUAAGCAUAUCAAUAAGCCGGAGGAA
RNAcentral lists this ribosomal RNA (740 nucleotides) under Lactarius rubrocorrugatus. RNAcentral's name for it is "eukaryotic LSU rRNA". The stretch from base 271 to 424 matches the Rfam family "5.8S ribosomal RNA". The record is from RNAcentral. Lineage: Eukaryota; Fungi; Basidiomycota; Agaricomycetes; Russulales; Russulaceae.